GGGGGCGCACAGGAAUUGACGGCGGAGGAAUGCCGUCGGUGGCGCGCCGGGGCUCGUCGGGUGGCCUCGUCAAAAAAGACUCGGCAAACAUCAACUGCCAACAACGAAUUGGCUCUCGCCGCUUAAUCAAGCGGCAGGUCGUAACGGCGACGCCCACUAACCGAUUACGGCCUCACUGAGUGGGCUGUCCCCGCCGGUGGGUUCCGGGGCCGGCGGGCGAGGAUGCCUUCUCGGGACUGGCGUGGAGGUGAGCCUGUCCGUGGGCGCGUUUCCGCGCGAGAAUCAAUACACGCGACUACGCGCGUAGAGACCGGCCGCAAACCCCGACCGGACGUGGGUUCGAUUCCCACCGCCUCCACCA
This 361-nucleotide transfer-messenger RNA is filed under the name Candidatus Hydrogenedentota bacterium. RNAcentral describes it as "Candidatus Hydrogenedentes bacterium transfer-messenger RNA". It matches the Rfam family "transfer-messenger RNA". Rfam says of the family: Bacterial tmRNA, also known as 10Sa RNA or SsrA, is named for its dual tRNA and mRNA-like properties. Its role is to liberate the mRNA from a stalled ribosome. Lineage: Bacteria; Pseudomonadati; Candidatus Hydrogenedentota. The record is from RNAcentral.